Long non-coding RNA from Teleopsis dalmanni, 2412 nucleotides. RefSeq lists it as uncharacterized. The transcript has 9 exons. Lineage: Eukaryota; Metazoa; Arthropoda; Insecta; Diptera; Diopsidae. The record is from RefSeq and is a predicted model, not a curated record.
UUUUUCCAUAAAAAUGUAAAUUCUAGGAAUAACAAAAAACAGAGCCAAAAACUAAAAUAAAAAAAUUUUUGUUCUCUUAUAAGCCAACAUUUGGAUUGAAUUGGAUUGAAAACAAAUCAUUUUGGUACGGAAUAAGCAUUUCAACUGUAAUAAUUUCCUGGCAACUUUUCUUGAACUGUACUACCAUCAGAAAUUAUAAAUUCAAACAUUGGUUCCAAAUAUUGCAUUCUCAAAAUUAUUCGAACUAUAAGAAGGGAAGAAGAUUUGAUACUUAAAUAAAACGAAAGCAGAGAAGGGAAAAUAGAAAUGGAGCAUCUGGAUGUACGUGAAUUGUCCCAAGAGGAUGCAGUAGGAAUGUUUAAUACUACAAAUAUAGGAAAAAUUAUGCCCCGAAAUGUUCCUUUUGAAAGUCUUAUUAUAGUCGUAACGCAUAGUGCAGAGCCGGAACUGAAAGAAGUGAACAUUUACCAAAAGAGCAACACACCAUAUCCGCAUUUCCUGGCGUCCUGUUCAUGCAGACAGGUGGACGUUGAGUUGAUGUACCACAUACAAGACUUUAAUGACAUAAGUCUAGUAUAUAAACCAGUAUACUGCGUCAGGGGUGAAAUUAUGCAUGCGGCGAUGCUGGAAAACUUCCAGCACCAAUUUCAAACCUAAAAUAAACGAGUUCUAAGGGUGGGCGGGCGAAGAUCUACAUAUUACCAUACAGGUGACCAGUCAAAGUAGAUCAAAAUAACAUCUGACAAAAUGGUAGAAGACUGGUACAUUAUCGCAUUUGAUAUAUUUAAUCAAUAUAUUAAGUGUGCCCACACCAAGAAGAUAGACUGCUGGUCGGGGGUGUGUGGGGUGUGUGUGGUACAUCAACUCAACGUUUAUAUUAGUAGAAAAAAUGUGGUGGAAACUUAUAAUUUGGUAUCGACAUCUAACCGAGCUAAUACGAGUGUAUUUCAUUAUUAUGAUAAGAUAAUCAUGAUUAAUUGAGUGUUUUAUACUACUAGACUAAUGAGAUGUCUACGUAAAGAUCCAGCAUUGAUAAAAUUUACAACAUUUCCUUCAUAGUCUACAUUUUGAAAACGACAAACUAUUGAUUGGUGUAAAGUUUUGGAAUGAGAUGAUUGUGCAAAUAAUUUUUAAGAAGACUAUAUAUGCAUAAAUGGAAAUUUAUAGAAACGAUGAUUUUUAGAUGCUCUUGUAAUAUGUAUGAUGAUCUUCAAAUUUGAGACUGAAAUAGUUUUGUUUCAGUGUACAUCAGGUACUUUCUGAACUUCAGAGAAUGUCCUGUGUUUCUUGCCGUAAAUGUAUGGAGGAUUAGUUACUUGCGUGCUCAAUUUUAAUUCCUCUUCAAGUAAUGGCAUUUAUCAAAAGACAACAUACAACAUCUGUUAAUUUGAAGUUGUUUAACUCGAUUGAUUUCUCUGGAAAAUUUCACUUAAAUAAAACUAAACGGAAACAAUGAUACAUUUAUGAUCCCCGAUACGAGUAUGUAAUGUUUUUAAUAAGUGCGUGAAAACUUAUCACUUGAAACUUGAGAGUAAAUAACUGUAUUUGUAAAUGUACGAUCAUUCAUCAAUUCAUCCAUCUUCAUCUAAGACUUCUAAAUCAAUUUUUAAGAAUUUUGGAAAAGAUAGCUGAUCAUAUUACUGUAAUGAACAAAUAGAAGCUUGCAUGGUUGUUCUGUGAGUUGUAUUUUUGACAAUUGAUGUGUGGAAGAUUAAUUACAUGCAUGUUAAAGGAUUUAUCACCAUGUGUAUCUUAAAACGUUUUAAUUUAUUCAGCUUUAUAACCAUUUUCAUUUCAAAACAUUGGAUAUUUCAUUAUUGUAUUAAAAAAUCACCAUCGAUUAACUUAACCUUUAUCUUACUGGAUUGACUUCACUGACUUCCCUAGGAAAUUUGAAUGAAAUGUAAUCGAUGAUGCAUAGAUGAUCUGUUAUAUACGGUGCUUACAAUAAGUGUAUGACUAUUCAUUAUCUAAAAAUAUGAUACUAAAAUCAUUGUAUUUGAGGACUAGUUACCUUGACGUGGAUCUUGUUUGGUAGCACGUAUAUACGAAAUUGAAGAGUAAUGGAAAUAAAAUAUAUAGUUGGUAUAUAGUUGCUCUAUGGAAUGGUUAAAAACAAUACAACUAAGAAGUGCUUCAUAGACAUAUAGUCCUUAAUACUAACUAAUAAUAAUAAAAGCUGGCGUGAAUUGAUUGGAGUUCAGACAAAACUACUUUCUUUAUUUUGGAAUAUCGGAACCCGAUUCACUUCAAUGAGAGUAUCGGAACCUGAUACUUCAAUGUGUAUUAUAAAGCAACAAACUGAAGUAAUCUCCUUCUGUUACAUGCAGUUUGAAUAUAAUAAAAAAUUAAAUAGUUUCUAUGAAAUAUUUUUUGGAAUCAGUUUAAAAUUUUCGGCGACGGGACUAAACA